RNAcentral lists this ribosomal RNA (378 nucleotides) under uncultured eukaryote. RNAcentral's name for it is "partial 18S ribosomal RNA". It matches the Rfam family "Eukaryotic small subunit ribosomal RNA", at positions 592 to 976 of the family's 1831-position model. The record is from RNAcentral.
CAAUAGCGUAUAUUUAAGUUGUUGCAGUUAAAAAGCUCGUAGUUGGAUUUCGGGUUGGCUUCAGCGGUCUCGCUUUGCGUUUGUACUGCCGCAGCCUUCCUUCUUGCUGGGGACGGUCAUCCGGGCUUCAUUGCUUGGGGUCUGGAAUCAGCGACGUUACUUUGAGUAAAUUAGAGUGUUCAAAGCAAGCCUACGCUCUGAAUAUAAUAGCAUGGGAUAACACGACAGGACUCUGGCCUAUCGUGUUGGUCUGUAGGACCAGAGUAAUGAUUAAGAGGGACAGUCGGGGGCAUUCGUAUUCCGUUGUCAGAGGUGAAAUUCUUGGAUUUACGGAAGACGAACAUCUGCGAAAGCAUUUGCCAAGGAUGUUUUCAUUGA